GCCCGGCUAGCGCAAUGGUAGCGCGUAAGACUUCUAUCUCGAUCAAAAACACCAUGUGUUAGAGUGGCAUCUUAAGGUUGCGGGUUCGACCCCCGCGUCGGGUU
Non-coding RNA from Cercophora newfieldiana, 104 nucleotides. The record is from the annotation of a GenBank genome assembly. Lineage: Eukaryota; Fungi; Ascomycota; Sordariomycetes; Sordariales; Lasiosphaeriaceae.